Molecule: long non-coding RNA, 1309 nt
Filed under: Helianthus annuus (common sunflower)
Lineage: Eukaryota; Viridiplantae; Streptophyta; Magnoliopsida; Asterales; Asteraceae
Description: hypothetical non coding rna
Source: RNAcentral
GUGGGUUUUCGCCUGGGAGAUAUGGGAAAUCAAAACUGCCAAUAAUAGUAUAAGGGGCACCGUUAUAAAUUAAAACCGUUAGAGUUUUUGAUCAUGAAAAAAAAAUAGAAUAAAAAGUGGGCUAGAAACUAAAUGAAAGUAGUGCAUUCAUAUGUAGUCUGAGCUGGGGAUAGCACUCUACAGCAAGAUUACCGCUAGGGUGUGUGAAAUCGACUGUGCAAAAAGAGAAAAAAGUACCGAAACCUAAGUAAUCUGUGGUUGGGGAUAGAGACUCUACAGCCGGAUUGCCUCUUGGUUAGGGAAAGCAUCGUCUACGCUCACUUAGAAAAAAAAAAGCGAAAGAAAAAGAAAGAAAAAAAAAGAAAAAAAAGAAAAAUAUGAUUGUAAACUUUUCUGGUUUUGAUAUAAGACGGUUGGGAAUUGGUCCAGUGAUCGCUCCUUUAGUCCUAUAAGCUUGAGGCGGGAGUAGGUGGACUGUAGAUUCUAGCGUGAGACCCUAGGUAGACUGACCGCACUUAAAUUAAAUUCACAUGAUAAGGGCUUAGGAUUGGAUUCGGGUUUAAGGGGAGAAGUAUAUUCGCAAUCGCAGCUAACACAAGUCUUGGUUUUAAUUAAAUAUACCUAUGCUUUUCACCCGAGUGAAUAUUUGUCUAUGAUUCCGUUGCAUAAUUCUUUUUCGAGGACGAAAAAAGAGUAAGUGUGGGGAUGUUUGAUGUAUUGCAAAAUACAUCAUUUAUUCGUGUACAGUUUGUCCUGAUGUUCAAAUAUGCGAGAAAGCGAGUAAAACGAGUAAAAUAUUGAAGUGUCAAGUCUUGAAGCAUGUUGGAAAGGUCGAGGAGUUGAAAUAGAGUUAAAGAGCUGAAAAAUCACUCUCUGGCACCCCAUCACCCACUAAGCAAGUCUGUGGCACCAGGCGAGAGACUGAAGGUAGUACAUGAGCUGAAAAACAAGGUGGCACCCCACCACCCAGUCCCUGAUUUUGUGGCGCCCAGCCAGAAGCUUCUGGCUGGCAAUUAUUACGAAUUUAAUAAGGGUUUUUUAUGGGAAGUCAUAUAUAAUCAUCCUAAACUUGGGAAAAAACCCUAAUUCGACUUUGGGGACUUCUUGGGCGAUUGUUGAGCAUUCUUGGAGCGUUUUUAGAGAUUUUGAAGCCUAGGAAUCAUCGGUACGAGUUCGGGGAAGAAGACUUGAAGAUCUAAUCGGGUUUUCUAGUUCUUUGUUCUUGAUUUUUCUUACGAAACUUGUUACAAUGAAUUCUUUGUUAAACAUCUUUGAAUUGUUUUCGUUUAUGAACAUGCUCGGCUAGAUU